AUUUGACAAACAGGUCACAUAUUAUUUAAAUUAAAAAAAUGAGAAACGACAUUUUCGGCAGUCUGGCAGUCAUUUGGGACACCGAAACCUCCAUUUGUUCCUCGGUGCUCUGAAGAGAAAUGAUCCUGAAUUGCCCCUGAUGCUGUGAUACCUGCUGUGUCCUGAUGCUCUACUUCAGCCCUAGUGACUUAUCUUCUGCUGGAUGAUCUCACAUAGAGAUGCAAAAGAUCUGGAUUUCCUUAAAGCCUAUUAGUUUCUGUCCAAAUCCUACCCUUAAUCUCACCUGGAUACUUGACCUACAGACCUGCUGCAGUAAUCAUAAUGACUACAAACCUUCUUUCCCUCAACCACUCACUACUGUCUGACCUCAUAGUAUACAGUUGUAGAGUAACGGUUUCUAACAUCCAGAAGAGGAUGGGAUCUUUUUUUUUUUAACUUUCUCAAGGUUUCUUCAUGUUAUUAUAAAGAGUUUUUCCUUGCCAUCAUCACAUGCUUAUCAGAGCACCGAGUCAACGUUCGGAUUUGCGAGUGCUUUGUGAAAAUGUCUUUUUUUACGAAUACCAUACAAAUAAAAUUGGUCCUUUAACAACGAGUUAUAACGUGAGAUCCAGAUAUCCGAAUACUUUCAAAGCAGUUCGAAUAACUGCAUUGUUGUACAUAAUUAUUCUUGUUUUAUCUUGUCAAUGGAAACAGGAUGUUUUUUUUUAGCUUGGAUUGAACGUAUGAUU
This is a long non-coding RNA of Tachysurus fulvidraco (yellow catfish), 728 nucleotides long. RefSeq lists it as uncharacterized. NCBI's taxonomy places the organism in Eukaryota, Metazoa, Chordata, Actinopteri, Siluriformes, Bagridae. The record is from RefSeq and is a predicted model, not a curated record. The transcript is spliced from 2 exons.